CAUCUAACUUGAUCACUCAACAUUUGCAACAAGUUCCAUUAUUGUUGUCGAUCUAUAGACAGGAAAUAGACAGCAUGAUAGAUUAUUGCAAAUGUUGAGUGAUCAAGUUAGAUGAUGUAUUCAAUUGAAAGAAGUUCAAAUUGUUAAUUAUUUCAAACACUAGCACAUCAGAAAUGCUAAUUGUUGUAGCUUCAAGCAUCCACCUUCGCAGCUGCAGAUGCAUAACUGACACUGCUGUCCCUCAUUGUUUUGCAUUGGCUUGAUUGCUCGUAUCGGACAAAUUUAAUCUUUAUCUUUAUUGAGCAAUUCCUUAACA
RNAcentral lists this unclassified non-coding RNA (316 nucleotides) under Hevea brasiliensis (rubber tree). Lineage: Eukaryota; Viridiplantae; Streptophyta; Magnoliopsida; Malpighiales; Euphorbiaceae. The record is from RNAcentral.